CUGAAAAGCUAUAAAACUGGCUUCAGGGUAGAGAGAACGGGGAAGAGAGGGGCUUCCAGAGGUCUGGUCCUUGCUUUGGCCCUCCUAUAGGCAGCAGAGGCACCAGAGAAAUGAGCAUUCCACCGGCUGGCCAGGCUCUAUGACUGCAUGGACACUCUGGAAAUAAGCUUUGUCUGAAAAGGACUGGAAAGGCGCUGGCCCCUGAGAGACCUCAAACAUCUACGACGGAGUGAAAACCAACAGAGCCAUAAAGGGAGAAAGCCCAGGAGACAGUCGAGAUUCCAGGAGAAAAAUGACGACGCUGCUCCCUGUUUCUGCUACGGUUAAACUCAGCUGGGUCCCCUGAAAGGCAAAAGUUUACUUCCCAAAUUAGGGCCGUCUCUGUGGAAAACAGGACUGAAACUACACCUUGAUGGCGGAGUAUAAACAAUGAAGCCAUCAGAAGGUGGAAGAGGAGAAGGCCACGGAGGGGAUCCUGGGGUUACAACGCCACGGGCCGGCCACGGAGAGAUGGUGUGUGUUAGGAGAAACAAGGAAGCUGUGUGAGAUGCCCACUAUGUGAAGUGUCUGCUAGUGGAUAUUACCAUACAAAAUACAGAUUGGUGACCAGCACGCCCCUGGAAGUUCCCUCCCCACCGCACUGUGAUAGGAGACAGACAUCCUACACAUUGUACACCUUGGAAGAAGAGGACAGGUGUGUGAGGAAGAAUGUGCUGAAAUAACACCUGUCAAGUGGCAGAAGAAAAAUCUCGCUGAACUGAGAAUAUUGUACCCAGGUGGACUCCAGACUGUAGGCCAGGAGCGUCAGUAACCCAGCCCUGAGAAUCAGCCACUCUGCAGAGGACAUGGCCUGAGAAGCCUCUCUCCUGAUAACUUUCUUGUAGAAAUUGCUGCUGUCCUUUGCCAACUUUCAAAUUCAGUUUCGUCUUCUUACUGUGGAGUCAUGAGUCCUUGGCUUAUCUACUUUGUCUUCUCAAUUAUAUCUUGUAAAAAUGAAA
Mus musculus (house mouse) is the source of this 998-nucleotide long non-coding RNA. RefSeq annotates it as predicted gene, 36102. Lineage: Eukaryota; Metazoa; Chordata; Mammalia; Rodentia; Muridae. The transcript is spliced from 3 exons. The record is from RefSeq and is a predicted model, not a curated record.